GACGAACGCUGGCGGCGUGCCUAAUACAUGCAAGUAGAACGCUGAAGGAGGAGCUUGCUUCUCUGGAUGUGUUGCGAACGGGUGAGUAACGCGUAGGUAACCUGCCUGGUAGCGGGGGAUAACUAUUGGAAACGAUAGCUAAUACCGCAUAACAGUAGAUAUCGCAUGAUAUCUACUUGAAAGGUGCAAUUGCAUCACUACCAGAUGGACCUGCGUUGUAUUAGCUAGUUGGUGAGGUAACGGCUCACCAAGGCGACGAUACAUAGCCGACCUGAGAGGGUGAUCGGCCACACUGGGACUGAGACACGGCCCAGACUCCUACGGGAGGCAGCAGUAGGGAAUCUUCGGUAAUGGACGGAAGUCUGACCGAGCAACGCCGCGUGAGUGAAGAAGGGUUUCGGAUCGUAAAGCUCUGUUGUAAGAGAAGAACGAGUGUGAGAGUGGAAAGUUCACACUGUGACGGUAUCUUACCAGAAAGGGACGGCUAACUACGUG
RNAcentral lists this ribosomal RNA (495 nucleotides) under uncultured bacterium. RNAcentral describes it as "partial 16S ribosomal RNA". It matches the Rfam family "Bacterial small subunit ribosomal RNA", at positions 28 to 507 of the family's 1533-position model. The record is from RNAcentral.